RNAcentral lists this non-coding RNA (51 nucleotides) under Ralstonia sp. RNAcentral describes it as "Guanidine-II sequence". It matches the Rfam family "Guanidine-II riboswitch aptamer (mini-ykkC)". Rfam says of the family: Simpler in structure and has fewer highly conserved nucleotide positions than the ykkC-yxkD leader. Lineage: Bacteria; Pseudomonadati; Pseudomonadota; Betaproteobacteria; Burkholderiales; Burkholderiaceae. The record is from RNAcentral.
UUGCGAGGACGACCUCCCCCAACUCUGGGUUGCAUGUCCGGGACGGCCCGG